Molecule: ribosomal RNA, 301 nt
Filed under: uncultured bacterium
Lineage: Bacteria
Description: partial 16S ribosomal RNA
Rfam family: Bacterial small subunit ribosomal RNA
Source: RNAcentral
CAGCCGCCGCGGUAACACGAAGGGGGCUAGCGUUGUUCGGAUUUACUGGGCGUAAAGCGCACGUAGGCGGACUUUUAAGUCAGGGGUGAAAUCCCGGGGCUCAACCCCGGAACUGCCUUUGAUACUGGAAGUCUUGAGUAUGGUAGAGGUGAGUGGAAUUCCGAGUGUAGAGGUGAAAUUCGUAGAUAUUCGGAGGAACACCAGUGGCGAAGGCGGCUCACUGGACCAUUACUGACGCUGAGGUGCGAAAGCGUGGGGAGCAAACAGGAUUAGAUACCCCCGUAGUCCCUGUCUCUUAUAC